AGGGAUCUUGCAGCCGUCAGAAGCUCAGAUUUAAGAAGUCUCUGCAGGAUACGGAGCAGGCAGCAGGAGUUGUCAGCGCACGGAAUACAGAGUGGUUCCCGGGUCACGAUGGGGUGUGGAGGCGGGGGUGGGGGGAGAUGGUCCAGAGAAAGAUGGUCCAGAGAAAGAGGGGCAGAUUUGGAGAAGUCUUUGGAGAGGAUCACUGGCCAAGUGGAAGAGGCGGAUGAAGAGCUCCCUGGGUGUGCUGCUGACCAAGGCAGAUCUGGAGGCAGAGUCAAAGCAACAGUCGGCAAUCGGGCAAUUUAUGAAGACGUUGAAGGAAGGAGUUGACACACGGAUUCAGUCAGAAAUUUCAAAGAGAGUAGAGUGAAAAGAAGGGUUUGGUGAAAAGAUUCAGGCAUUCCUGGUGGAGGUGACAUAGUGGAGCAGGACAUCUACCAGAAGUCCCGGGGCUAUGGUCCAUGAGCUUGGCCCUGGCGGAGUGAGGCCAGUGCAGCCUGGCUCCGCUGCAGGAGAUGCCAAGACAAGGCUGCCCUCUCUGGAACAAAAGUGACCUCAUUUCUCAGGUACUGCUGGGGACUGCCGGCCAAUUGCCAAUUUUGCCUCUCCUUCACUCAAUGAAGAAGUGUUUGUCUUUGCAAAUACAGGAAGCGCUCUUUUUUGUUUUCUCCUUGUGUUGUUGAGGCUUUGCUGUCCAGGAGUGGUUUCUGGGGAGGGCCACCCCAUCCAAUGUCCCCACCUUUUUUGACCUUUGGGUGCUUUAUUUGGGCUGGUGAGAACUCUCUUUUGUCCUGGGGGCAGUUCUGAGCUUAUAGGCCACUGAGGUCUUCAUAUACAACAGGGCCUAUUCCUUUUGUGAUUGGGUAGUCCCACCAACUGUAACACCAGAAUCAUCAGGAGGUAGAGCCCAAUCAGGAGAGCUGGGAAUGAAUGGCUCAGAACCGGUGUUUGGCACACAUGUAGGACAAGCAUUCUUCAUGUGUCUUAUUUUGAACAGCUGUCUGGAUUGUUGUCUCACAGGUUUUGGCAUUAUGUGACCCCCACAUCCCCAAUUCUGUCCUGCUACAGGCCGUAAGAUUUCAGGGGGACCAUUCCCAGGGUGGUACCUGUGGUUGAUAUAUGAACUUCCUUGUCCCCCACAAAUCUCCACAGGGUUCAAACCCAGUGUUGAAUGAGUCUCUGUUUGAAAUUAGAUUAGAACCACCACUUGGGAAGGGCAAAGAGCAGACAGCCUCAACAGUGGUGGAGCCAACCAUGAACUUCUCAGGAGUGACCUGUGCUUCCUUCAAGGCAGUUUCUGUUAUGUGUAUCCUUCUAAGACCUGCAUUUCUUUCAAGACUGAUCCUGUCCAUUUUGUAGCCCAUUUUUCUUCAUUAACAAUAAAACCAAUUGUGAGCACCAAAGAGCAAGCAGAAGA
Homo sapiens (human) is the source of this 1417-nucleotide long non-coding RNA. Lineage: Eukaryota; Metazoa; Chordata; Mammalia; Primates; Hominidae. The record is from Ensembl.